RNAcentral lists this ribosomal RNA (225 nucleotides) under uncultured Fluviicola sp. Its description in RNAcentral is "partial 16S ribosomal RNA". It matches the Rfam family "Bacterial small subunit ribosomal RNA", at positions 568 to 792 of the family's 1533-position model. Lineage: Bacteria; Pseudomonadati; Bacteroidota; Flavobacteriia; Flavobacteriales; Crocinitomicaceae. The record is from RNAcentral.
CGCGUAGGCGGGUUUAUAAGUCAGUGGUGAAAGCCUACAGCUCAACUGUAGAACUGCCAUUGAUACUGUAGAUCUUGAAUUCGGUCGAAGUGGGCGGAAUAUGACAUGUAGCGGUGAAAUGCUUAGAUAUGUCAUAGAACACCGAUAGCGAAGGCAGCUCACUAGGCCUGGAUUGACGCUCAGGGACGAAAGCGUGGUGAGCACACAGGAUUAGAUAUCCCCGUA